The sequence is a non-coding RNA, 395 nucleotides long. It matches the Rfam family "Bacterial RNase P class A". From Rfam's summary of the family: Ribonuclease P (RNase P) is a ubiquitous endoribonuclease, found in archaea, bacteria and eukarya as well as chloroplasts and mitochondria. Its best characterised activity is the generation of mature 5'-ends of tRNAs by cleaving the 5'-leader elements of precursor-tRNAs. The record is from Rfam.
AUGGGUGAACGCGCAGCCGCGGGUGCAAACCGCAUCUGAGGAAAGUCCGGGCACUAGAGGGCAACCUGCUCCCUAACAGAGAGAAGCCUGUAAGGGCUAGUGCAUCCAGAAGAAAAUAACCGCCUGCAACCAGUUUGCAGGUAAGGGUGAGAAGGUGGGGUAAGAGCCUACCGCCAGAAUUGGCGACAGUUCUGAGCGUGGAUGCCCAGGUAGUGCAAGAUCAAAUAGACCUCUUCCGUCGCGGUGCAGACGGACGUGCGGCCCGUGCGUGGGCAUCCCAAGAGGUGGGUAGAUCGCUAGAAUAUGCGCAGUAAUGCCAUAUCCAGAUAGAUGGCUGCGAUGCUGGACGAUACCGCUCAGCGUACAGAACCCGGCUUACAUGCUUGCCCAUGCGC